UGGGAUUUAGCUCAGUGGUGCCAGCAUGUGCCUGGCAAGCACAAGGUCCCAAGUUCAAUCCCUGGUACCAG
RNAcentral lists this transfer RNA (71 nucleotides) under Fukomys damarensis (Damara mole-rat). The stretch from base 8 to 65 matches the Rfam family "tRNA", at positions 8 to 63 of the family's 71-position model. Rfam says of the family: Transfer RNA (tRNA) molecules are approximately 80 nucleotides in length. Their secondary structure includes four short double-helical elements and three loops (D, anti-codon, and T loops). Lineage: Eukaryota; Metazoa; Chordata; Mammalia; Rodentia; Bathyergidae. The record is from Rfam by way of RNAcentral.